This is a long non-coding RNA of Mus musculus (house mouse), 1563 nucleotides long. RefSeq annotates it as predicted gene, 34098. The transcript has 3 exons. The record is from RefSeq and is a predicted model, not a curated record. NCBI's taxonomy places the organism in Eukaryota, Metazoa, Chordata, Mammalia, Rodentia, Muridae.
AAAGAAGUCUAAUUGAGAGGCAGAAGCUGAAGGUGGUAGGAAUGCUAAUGGGAUCCUGCUGGGGUCAGAUAAUGAACUCUGCUGGAAGUCUGCUGGAUGCUCUGCUGCAGAGUCAUAGUCAGGGUCGGAGUUUAAUCAACUUUAGGGUUAAUUGGAGCCACAGAAUCAAGUGUGGGUUCCUGGAGACCAGGGAGGUGAAGGUAGGUCCAGAUAAGAUCUGGACAGAUAAAUGAGUGGACAGCAGCUCCAGCUGAACCAACAGCCUAUGGAUGGAUGGUGAUUCAAGCUCCCUGAAGACAAGCAUAGGUCUAUGACACUUGUGUUACAACUGCAGUGCCAUACUGUUCCCAGGUUCCUGAUGUGUCUAGUACCAGAGAGAUGGGAAGGUCCUAUAGAGUAAGUCUAGUUGCUGCUUGAUUUUCUCUACUGCAAGCAUAACAUAAAGACACCACGUCCUGCCUGCGGUCACAUGUCUGCUCAGCCAAGAAUUAACAGGGUUCUUAGAUGAGCUUGAAGGCUUCGCUGAAAUACAUCUCUCAGAGAUUUAACGUUCUCCAAAAUUGAAACCUUAGCUUGAUCCACAAUCUCUUUAUCCAUUAAUUUUUAGUUUUAGAUUUGCUAUAUCAUUUUCUGUGGAGAUCUUUUGGGGGCCACUUGGCAGGAAUCUGACAUUGGGCCAGGACAAGGAAGUGGGCUUCAGAUAGAAAUUUGACAUGGGCCAUGACGAGGAAGUAAGUUCAGGCAAGAAUCUAAUUUUAGGCCAGAACAAAGAAGUAGGCCUCAUGUAAGAAUAUGAAUUUGGGCUAGGACAGGGAAGUAGGCUCAGAUAUCUUGGUCAUCCUGAUAAUCCCUUCGGAACAGUGAUCACGGGACUUUGUUUAUUGCCUUGCUUGUUCCUUGACUAUUUGUGUUUAUUGUACUGCUUGACCUUAUUACUUGCAUGUAAUUAAAAUGGCAUAAAAGCAGAUUGGGAAAAAAUGUGCCCGCCUCAGCUUCAGAACUGGCUGGGGUCAUGCUACAAUGUUGUCUAAUUGUCUUUUUCCUUUUUAAUCCUCACUCCUGCCCUGAAGAAUCUGUUGACUGACUGAGUGGGCUUAGUCAAUUUUCCUUUCUUUUGGUUCGUUUUGUGGUUAUUUUAUUACAGGCUUAAACUGAGAAUUUAAAUCUGUUUCCUACUUUAAAAAAAUAAAAGCAUUGAAUCCAUAAAUUCCUUCACUGGAUAGCUGUGGCCAAUUGCAGUUACUACCAGCUAAUACUACUAUUGCUAUAGAAAUUCUAAAGAGUGUGCGCCUUCAGCUCUACUUUCUGACUGUUUUAUGUUUUUAGAAGAGCAAUGACAUCUUUCCAUGUGAAAUUAAUUUUUGUCACCUUUUUUGUUUAUUAAACUAAACACUGCCUCCUCUAGACCUGUUAGCAUUUUACUAAAAUGUUUACUUUUAUAUUAUAUAAAACUCAUGUUAAAAAUAGUUUGUUUUCUGUCAACCUAACUACUUUAGAAAAAUUAUUUUUGAAUCCACUGUAAAUUUUAUGUGGCAUAAAACAAUUUUUAAAAAUCUGCGCACU